Non-coding RNA from Danio rerio (zebrafish), 1004 nucleotides. The record is from Ensembl. Lineage: Eukaryota; Metazoa; Chordata; Actinopteri; Cypriniformes; Danionidae.
AUUGUUGUUGUGUCGAUGUAAAAGCAUAACAGUCAAAUCAUUAUAAGUAAAUAUCCUGUGUCUGUACUUCCAGUGUGUGGAUGGGGUCCUGGGACCGGACGGCUCCUCUCUGAAAAGGGUGGCAGUGGUGGAGGACUUCUAUGACAUCAUCUAUGCCAUGCAUGUGGAGAUCAGCAGUGACCCGGCCAAAGCCCCCAAACACGCCGGACAGAAGAAAACCUACAAAGCGAUAGCGGAGACAUAUGCGUUUCUGCCCAGAGAAGCGGUGACCCGUUUCCUGAUGAGCUGUGGUGAAUGUCAGAAGAGGAUGCACAUCAGCCCCAGCGGAGCAGAGUUCAAAGAGAAUAACCAGCCGAGUUCUUUGGCAGCUGAUCUUAUAGACUACAACAUGCCUCUUACCACAACAUACCUGAAGCAGAAGAAACUGCAGUGCAUGAACAACAACGAGCAGGUAAAAACACACUUCUCUAACCUGUGGGUGCACUGGCUGACAUAUACAAGUCAGUGUGCUGGCAUGAGCGUCCUUUUCAGUCCAUCCAGAUGGUGCAGAAAUCACUGUGGGCGUUGUGCUUUACUGACAGCAGGCCUUUUUUUUGCUUGAGUUUGUGUUUAUUUAUUUUUAUUGGACAGCACUGUGUAGUCACCAUUUUGUUCUUGUUGCCCUGUGCAUUUCAGGGACUGCCUCCAAUGUGCUGAAAUUCACAGUUUAUAUACUUUCGACAUUUUUUUAGUUGGACAUUUUUAUUACUUGCAUUAUUAAAGAACAUUAUACAUUAUUGUUCCCAGUGAUGGGAAAGGCUGAAAGGGCAUCCGCUGCAUAAAACAUAUCCUGGAUAAGUUGGCGGUUCAUUCCGCUGUGGCGACCCCAGUUUAAAAAAGAGACUAAGCCGAAAAGAAUUAUUUCUUCAUUUGAAUAAUUGCUGCUAAAAUCAUUGCAUUUAAUUUUUUAUUGAUUUUUAAAUUAUGCUUUUAUAACUAAAAAUAAACAUUUUGCUUCAUUGUGC